GACGAACGCUGGCGGCGUGCCUAACACAUGCAAGUCGAGCGAGGAGAGUUCCUUCGGGAACAAACCUAGCGGCGGACGGGUGAGUAACACGUGGGCAACCUGCCUUGUAGAGGGAAUAGCCUUCCGAAAGGAAGAUUAAUACCGCAUAACAUUACAGUUUCGCAUGAAACAGUAAUUAAAGGAGUAAUCCGCUACAAGAUGGGCCCGCGGCGCAUUAGCUAGUUGGUGAGGUAACGGCUCACCAAGGCGACGAUGCGUAGCCGACCUGAGAGGGUGAUCGGCCACAUUGGGACUGAGACACGGCCCAGACUCCUACGGGAGGCAGCAGUGGGGAAUAUUGCACAAUGGGGGAAACCCUGAUGCAGCAACGCCGCGUGAGUGAUGAAGGUUUUCGGAUCGUAAAGCUCUGUCUUCGGGGACGAUAAUGACGGUACCCGAGGAGGAAGCCACGGCUAACUACGUG
RNAcentral lists this ribosomal RNA (463 nucleotides) under uncultured bacterium. RNAcentral's name for it is "bacterial SSU rRNA". It matches the Rfam family "Bacterial small subunit ribosomal RNA", at positions 28 to 507 of the family's 1533-position model. The record is from RNAcentral.